RNAcentral lists this transfer-messenger RNA (90 nucleotides) under Saprospiraceae bacterium. Its description in RNAcentral is "partial transfer-messenger RNA". It matches the Rfam family "transfer-messenger RNA", at positions 284 to 374 of the family's 374-position model. From Rfam's summary of the family: Bacterial tmRNA, also known as 10Sa RNA or SsrA, is named for its dual tRNA and mRNA-like properties. Its role is to liberate the mRNA from a stalled ribosome. To accomplish this part of the tmRNA is used as a reading frame that ends in a translation stop signal. Lineage: Bacteria; Pseudomonadati; Bacteroidota; Saprospiria; Saprospirales; Saprospiraceae. The record is from RNAcentral.
GUUGUCUUAAACUCAAAUCUUAAUCUAAGCAUGUAGAAAGCUUAUGGGUACUUUCUCUGGACCCGGGUUCGACUCCCGGCAGCUCCACCA